RNAcentral lists this ribosomal RNA (460 nucleotides) under uncultured bacterium. RNAcentral's name for it is "partial 16S ribosomal RNA". It matches the Rfam family "Bacterial small subunit ribosomal RNA", at positions 338 to 795 of the family's 1533-position model. The record is from RNAcentral.
CCUACGGGUGGCAGCAGUGAGGAAUAUUGGUCAAUGGACGAGAGUCUGAACCAGCCAAGUAGCGUGAAGGAUGACUGCCCUAUGGGUCGUAAACUUCUUUUAUAAAGGAAUAAAACGAGGCACGUGUGCCUUUUUGCAUGUACUUUAUGAAUAAGCAUCGGCUAACUCCGUGCCAGCACCCGCGGUAAUAAGGAGGAUCCGAGCGUUAUCCGGAUUUCUUGGGUUUAAAGGGAGCGUAGAUGGGGUGUUAAGUCAGUUGUGAAAGUUUGCGGCUCAACCGUAAAAUUGCAAUUGAUACUGGCAGUCUUGAGUACAGUUGAGGGAGGCGGAAUUCGUGGUGUAGCGGUGAAAUGCUUAGAUAUCACGAAGAACCCCGAUUGCGAAGGCAGCUUACUAAACUGUGACUGACAUUGAGGCUCGAAAGUGUGGGUAUCAAACAGGAUUAGAUACCCUUGUAGUC